GCCUCGUUAGCGCAGUAGGUAGCGCGUCAGUCUCAUAAUCUGAAGGAGUUCGAUCGUGAGUUCGAUCCUCACACGGGGCA
This 80-nucleotide transfer RNA is filed under the name Macrostomum lignano. It matches the Rfam family "tRNA". Rfam says of the family: Transfer RNA (tRNA) molecules are approximately 80 nucleotides in length. Their secondary structure includes four short double-helical elements and three loops (D, anti-codon, and T loops). Lineage: Eukaryota; Metazoa; Platyhelminthes; Macrostomidae. The record is from Rfam by way of RNAcentral.